RNAcentral lists this microRNA precursor (145 nucleotides) under Gossypium hirsutum (cotton). Its description in RNAcentral is "MIR7502 microRNA precursor family". It matches the Rfam family "MIR7502 microRNA precursor family". Lineage: Eukaryota; Viridiplantae; Streptophyta; Magnoliopsida; Malvales; Malvaceae. RNAcentral also lists the same sequence under 1 other name. The record is from Rfam by way of RNAcentral.
UGUUAAAAAUUUCAUUUAUUUGUACCAUCAAAAAUUGGUUGGUUUGGCCGACGGAAUAACUAAACAGUGACAUGCAACAUGCCAUGUGGUAAUGUUGGCAUUCAAGGACCAAUUUUUAACUAUAGAGAUUAUGAAAUUUUUAAUA